Molecule: ribosomal RNA, 301 nt
Filed under: uncultured bacterium
Lineage: Bacteria
Description: partial 16S ribosomal RNA
Rfam family: Bacterial small subunit ribosomal RNA
Source: RNAcentral
CAGCAGCCGCGGUAAUACGUAGGUGGCAAGCGUUGUCCGGAAUUAUUGGGCGUAAAGGGCUCGCAGGCGGUUUCUUAAGUCUGAUGUGAAAGCCCCCGGCUCAACCGGGGAGGGUCAUUGGAAACUGGGAAACUUGAGUGCAGAAGAGGAGAGUGGAAUUCCACGUGUAGCGGUGAAAUGCGUAGAGACGUGGAGGAACACCAGUGGCGAAGGCGACUCUCUGGUCUGUAACUGACGCUGAGGAGCGAAAGCGUGGGGAGCGAACAGGAUUAGAUACCCCAGUAGUCCCUGUCUCUUAUAC